UCUUCUUCUUCUUCUUCUUCAGAAGCUGAGCUUCGCAAGUACGUGGGCUACACAGCACUUUCCUUUUCUGUGGAGCCGCCACCUGCUAUUCCUUUCCUUUCCCAGAAAAUGACAACCACAAAAAGGCCCAAAUCUUCAGCUGUGCUCCUCUGCCCGAGGAUCUUCACACUGUCUCCAACUGGAGUGGAACCCACGAGGUUCAGACCCGAGCCUUCCACCAACCCGAGGAUCUCCAACAACUGGAGGAGUUGGUGAAGGAAUCUAAUGAGAAGAAGGCCAAGAUCCGUCCUGUGGCGUCUGGGUUGUCUCCUAAUGGGAUUGGGCUGGCACGGCCCGGGAUGGUGAACUUGGCGCUGAUGGAUAACGUUCUGGAGGAGGAUAGGGAGAAGAAGAGGGUGAGGGUUCAAGCUGGGAUUAGAGUUCAGCAGUUGGUUGAUGGGAUUAAAGAGUACGGUAUUACUUUGCAGAAUUUUGCCUCCAUUAGAGAGCAGCAAUUGGUGGCAUAGUCUUUUUAUAUGAAAAAACUGUUGAACUGCUCGUUUGUAAGUUGAUUGAAUGAUUGUGACCCAUUUUGGUUUUGGAGAGAAAAAUUUCAUUUUUGUUUCCUAUAAUUUCGGAAUCCUAUGCUUUGCUAAAUUUUAGAAAUUGAAUGGAUCCCACAUUCAUAGCAUCUGAAUCUUUCCCACGUUGGAUUGUAGUGAGAGAGGUUGCUGAUCCAUGUAUUGAGCGUGAUGCAGCACAAGGGAUAUAUCUGCUUCCUGACCUAAAACUGCCGGUUGGGUCAUUGCAAUAUAUAGUUCUUACUUUUGGGUGAGGAAGCUCAACUAGUUAGCUGAAAGGAUACCAAUAUGUUAAUGUGCAUCAAUUAAUAAUGGGUGUUCCAUCCUAAUGUACUCUAAUGAAUAAGUUUUAUGCCUACUUAUAGCAUUGGGUAGCAGCCAGAGUUUUUUCUCUUAUAAUAUUCGGCAGUUGAAAGAAGUAGAUCUUACCAGGAUUUGAUUAUUUGAGAAUGAAGUGUAAUUUGAAAUGAAAAAAAUUUGCUUAGUUUUUCUUGAGUUCAUUAUGAUUAACUUGUGCCCGGUCUUUGAUAAGCACAGUGCUAGGAAGAAUCUGGAUUGUCACUGAGUUUAUAUCAAAUUGUACUAGGACUUUCAGGCAUGAAUUGGUGCUAAAUAUGCCUUUUUGCUUAUUAGUUUGCAUUUAAACUAUUUGUGUGUUUGCUUCUCUUUAGGUUGGUGCACAUGGUACUGGUGCAAGAUUGCUACUUAUUGAUGAGCAGGUAAUUAGCAUGAAACUAGUCACUCCUUCCAAAGGAACAAUAGAGAUUUCAAAAGAGAAAGAUCCAGAGCUCUUUUAUCUAGCUCGCGUUGGUCUUGGGGGCCUUGGAGUGGUUGCUGAAGUCACCUUACAAUGUGUUGAUAGGCAAGAGCUUGUGGAGCAUACGUUCAUCUUGAACAUGAAGGAAAUCAAGAAAAACCACAAGUAAUCAUUUGCUUAUUAUAUUGGAUCAUGAAGAUGGUUGAAAAUUUGUAUCAAAUUCAAAGAAAUUCGAUGUUUGGGAAGUUGCAGCUUUUAAAUUUCUCCAAAGAUUAAUAAUCGAAAAAUACAGGUGGUUUGGGUCCUCAAUUUCUAUCACAAUCUAUUCGAUGGUGAAAUAUUUGUAGUCAGGAACCUAGGAGAUUGUCCAACUCAGUGUUUGACCAUACGAGUAUCCUUCUAAGUAAAGUUCAUCCCAUAGUAUGUUGUACACUGCCUUUAUCUGUCAUAUGAUUGGCGAUGCAUCAUUAUCUAUAUUUCUUGUGUGAGACUGAUGCAAAAUGCUUUUAUCUCUUCAUAUUUUUUUUUCAAGUAAAAAUGUCUCGCUAUUCGCUCAUUGGAUAGUUGCAAGAAAUAAUCUUUGAGUUUCUAUUUGUUUCUCUGGAUUUAAAAUCCACAUAUUUUUUGUUCUGCAGGAAAUUGCUAUCUGAGAAUAAGCAUGUGAAAUACCUAUAUAUCCCAUACACUGACAGUGUUGUGGUUGUGACAUGCAACCCUGUUUCCAAAUGGAGGGGUCCACCCAAAUUCAAACCAAAAUAUAGCAAAGAUGAGGCUAUACAGCAUGUUCGUGACGUUUACAAGGAGUCCCUCAACAAGUACAGUUACUUGCAGGACUGGAGUAAAUGCAGCUAAAUCUGUUGAUGAUGAUGAAACAGACGUAAAUGAGCUUUCAUUUACAGAGUUAAGAGAUAAACUGCUUGCUCUUGAUCCUCUUAACAAAGACCAUGUCAUAAAGGUUAAUCACGCUGAGGCUGAAUUCUGGAGGAAGUCAGAAGGAUAUAGAGUGGGGUGGAGUGAUGAAAUCCUGGGCUUUGAUUGUGGUGGGCAACAAUGGGUGUCAGAAACUUGUUUUCCUGCUGGUACCUUUUCAAAACCAAGCAUGAAAGACCUUGAAUUUAUAGAAGAGCUGAAGCAACUCAUAGAGAAAGAAGAGAUACCUGCACCUGCUCCUAUAGAGCAGCGUUGGACAUCUCGCAGCGAGAGCUCCAUGAGUCCUGCUUCAAGCUCAUCCAAAGAUGAUAUAUUCUCAUGGGUUGGUAUAAUCAUGUAUCUUCCUACAAUGGAUGCUCGCCAAAGAAAGGAAAUCACAGAAGAAUUCUUCCACUACAGGCAUUUAAGUCAGACACUGUUGUGGGACAAGUAUUCUGCUUUUGAACAUUGGGCCAAGAUUGAGGUUCCUAAGGACACUGAAGAUCUUACAGCUCUGCAAGCAAGGCUAAGAAGGCGUUUUCCCGUGGAUGCAUAUAAUAAGGCACGCAAGGAAUUGGACCCUAACAGAAUCCUUUCUAAUAAUAAGCUGGAAAAGCUGUUCCCAUUAUCAGAAGCCAUUUAAGAAGCAUCUUUUUUUGAUUGGUGGAGAUGAAGACUAUUUUUUC
Molecule: unclassified non-coding RNA, 2912 nt
Filed under: Hevea brasiliensis (rubber tree)
Lineage: Eukaryota; Viridiplantae; Streptophyta; Magnoliopsida; Malpighiales; Euphorbiaceae
Source: RNAcentral